This 288-nucleotide long non-coding RNA is filed under the name Manacus vitellinus (golden-collared manakin). RNAcentral's name for it is "lncRNA (ENSMVIG00005004771.1)". The record is from RNAcentral. Lineage: Eukaryota; Metazoa; Chordata; Aves; Passeriformes; Pipridae.
CGGCAGAUCAAACGGGCAGCACCACUUCAGAGGGCCAGCGACGCCUGCAGCAACCGGUUGAUGCCCUCGUAUCUUUGAAUUUUGUCCCAAACCAUGGUCAGUCAGGAAUGCUACAGAAUUCCUCACUGGAGGCAGUCCUUGCCAGCAGAGAGAACACCACUGGAAUUCCCAAGAUCCACCCAGACGGGUCACACUGCAGGGUCACUGUUUCAUGCUGCUCAUCUGCUCUCAUACAAGGACCACUGCCACAAACAGGUUUUUUAUGAUCAGGAAUUAAAAGAAUUCUGA